This 82-nucleotide transfer RNA is filed under the name Dreissena polymorpha. RNAcentral's name for it is "transfer RNA serine (anticodon AGA)". It matches the Rfam family "tRNA". Rfam says of the family: Transfer RNA (tRNA) molecules are approximately 80 nucleotides in length. Their secondary structure includes four short double-helical elements and three loops (D, anti-codon, and T loops). The record is from Rfam by way of RNAcentral. Lineage: Eukaryota; Metazoa; Mollusca; Bivalvia; Myida; Dreissenidae.
GUUGUCGUGGCCGAGUGGUUAAGGCGAUAAACUAGAAAUCUUUUGGGAUCUUCCCGCGCAGGUGCGAAUCCUGCCGACAACG